GACGAACGCUGGCGGCGUGCUUAACACAUGCAAGUCGAACGAUGAAGAAGAGACACGCGAACUUCGGUUCCAAUUUCACUUCGGAUUAGUGGCAGACGGGUGAGUAACGCGUGAGCAACCUACCUCUUACAAAGGGAUAGCCUCGGGAAACCGUGAUUAAUACCAUAUGACACAUUCAUAAGGCAUCUUAAGAAUGUUAAAGCUACGGCGGUAAGAGAUGGGCUCGCGUCCCAUUAGCUAGUUGGUGAGGUAACGGCCCACCAAGGCGACGAUGGGUAACCGGCCUGAGAGGGUGAACGGUCACAUUGGGACUGAGACACGGUCCAAACUCCUACGGGAGGCAGCAGUGGGGAAUAUUGCACAAUGGAGGGAACUCUGAUGCAGCGACGCCGCGUGAGCGAUGAAGGAAUUCGUUUCGUAAAGCUCUGUUCUAUGGGAAGAAAAGGACUGUACCAUAGGAGAAAGCCCCGGCUAAAUACGUG
This 482-nucleotide ribosomal RNA is filed under the name uncultured bacterium. RNAcentral describes it as "partial 16S ribosomal RNA". It matches the Rfam family "Bacterial small subunit ribosomal RNA", at positions 28 to 507 of the family's 1533-position model. The record is from RNAcentral.